UGACAAUCUGGUAGCUGGAUAUGGAUGA
RNAcentral lists this non-coding RNA (28 nucleotides) under Rattus norvegicus (Norway rat). Lineage: Eukaryota; Metazoa; Chordata; Mammalia; Rodentia; Muridae. The record is from RNAcentral.